Molecule: ribosomal RNA, 551 nt
Filed under: Salmonella enterica
Lineage: Bacteria; Pseudomonadati; Pseudomonadota; Gammaproteobacteria; Enterobacterales; Enterobacteriaceae
Description: partial 23S ribosomal RNA
Rfam family: Bacterial large subunit ribosomal RNA
Source: RNAcentral
AAUGGGUCAGCGACUUAUAUUCUGUAGCAAGGUUAACCGAAUAGGGGAGCCGGAGGGAAACCGAGUCUUAAUUGGGCGUUAAGUUGCAGGGUAUAGACCCGAAACCCGGUGAUCUAGCCAUGGGCAGGUUGAAGGUUGGGUAACACUAACUGGAGGACCGAACCGACUAAUGUUGAAAAAUUAGCGGAUGACCUGUGGCUGGGGGUGAAAGGCCAAUCAAACCGGGAGAUAGCUGGUUCUCCCCGAAAGCUAUUUAGGUAGCGCCUCGUGAAUUCAUCUCCGGGGGUAGAGCACUGUUUCGGCUAGGGGGCCAUCCCGGCUUACCAACCCGAUGCAAACUGCGAAUACCGGAGAAUGUUAUCACGGGAGACACACGGCGGGUGCUAACGUCCGUCGUGAAGAGGGAAACAACCCAGACCGCCAGCUAAGGUCCCAAAGUCAUGGUUAAGUGGGAAACGAUGUGGGAAGGCCCAGACAGCCAGGAUGUUGGCUUAGAAGCAGCCAUCAUUUAAAGAAAGCGUAAUAGCUCACUGGUCGAGUCGGCCUGCGCG